UGUCCACUGGUAUAUUGAGUUGACUUCGGCUGUUCUGUUUCUACGAUGCUUCAGCUCUGAACACGUCAACCACUCAAAGUUGAGCAAAGACAACAAAUACCAACAGUGAAUUCCGAGCACUGAUUCUGCCAUUUUACGAAAGAGGGAAGUCACGCAGUAAUUACCCCAACAGUGGGAUGAUAGCAAUUCUCAGCAAGGUUAGUAUUUAUAAUUACCUCAGUUUGUGGAUGCUACUAAUUACAUUCCGGACAAUAAGGGGAAAACAUUUUUGAAGCAAGGAUGCAUUGCAUGCGACAGCAAAUCUUCCGAUCCGCCGAGCCCUCCACUUGCCAGUGUGACCCCCCCCUCCUUACUGCUCAGCAUUCAAAACUGCAGCUACAACCACCAAACUGAAAAAUCCAGAUCCAAAUAAUUUUAAUAACCUUCAUCCCAUCUCUAACCUUGUCUUUCUCUCAAAAAUCUUGAAAAAGACCUUUGCUUCCUGCCUCUGACCCCUCCAUGUAGCACAGAAGCAACACUUCAAGAUCAAUAACGACCUCCUCCUGGCA
Long non-coding RNA from Syngnathoides biaculeatus (alligator pipefish), 548 nucleotides. RefSeq lists it as uncharacterized. The record is from RefSeq and is a predicted model, not a curated record. Lineage: Eukaryota; Metazoa; Chordata; Actinopteri; Syngnathiformes; Syngnathidae. The transcript has 4 exons.